This 253-nucleotide ribosomal RNA is filed under the name uncultured bacterium. Its description in RNAcentral is "partial 16S ribosomal RNA". It matches the Rfam family "Bacterial small subunit ribosomal RNA", at positions 524 to 776 of the family's 1533-position model. The record is from RNAcentral.
AACUUAGGGGGCAAGCGUUGCCCGGAUUCACUGGGCGUAAAGCGGGUGUAGGCGGUUCUUUAAGUCAGAUGUGAAAUCCUGCGGCUCAACCGCGGAACUGCAUCUGAUACUGGGGAACUUGAGGACGGUAGAGGUCGGUGGAAUCCCCGGUGUACCGGUGAAAUGGGCAGAUAUCGGGGGGAACACCAGUGGCGAAGGCGGCCGACUGGGCCGAUCCUGACGCUGAGACCCGAAAGCCAGGGGAGCGAACGGG